GGGAUUGCCCUAGUAACGGCGAGUGAAGCGGCAAGAGCUCAAAUUUGAAAGCUGGCCCCCGCGGGGUCCGCAUUGUAAUUUGCAGAGGAUGCUUCGGGAGCGGUCCCCAUCUAAGUGCCCUGGAACGGGCCGUCAUAGAGGGUGAGAAUCCCGUAUGGGAUGGGGUGCCCGCGCCCGUGUGAAGCUCCUUCGACGAGUCGAGUUGUUUGGGAAUGCAGCUCUAAUUGGGUGGUAAAUUUCAUCUAAAGCUAAAUAUUGGCCGGAGACCGAUAGCGCACAAGUAGAGUGAUCGAAAGAUGAAAAGCACUUUGAAAAGAGAGUUAAAAAGCACGUGAAAUUGUUGAAAGGGAAGCGCUUGCGAUCAGACUCGCCUGCGGGGUUCAGCCGGCCUUCGGGCCGGUGUACUUCCCCGCGGGCGGGCCAGCGUCGGUUUGGGCGGCCGGUCAAAGGCCCCUGGAAUGUAACGCCUCUCGGGGCGUCUUAUAGCCAGGGGUGCCAUGCGGCCUGCCCGGACCGAGGAACGCGCUUCGGCUCGGACGCUGGCAUAAUGGUCGUAAGCGACCCGUCUUGAAACACGGACCAAGGAGUCUAACAUCUACGCGAGUGUUCGGGUGUCAAACCCGUACGCGCAGUGAAAGCGAACGGAGGUGGGAACCCUCACGGGUGCACCAUCGACCGAUCCUGAUGUCUUCGGAUGGAUUUGAGUAAGAGCGUAGCUGUUGGGACCCGAAAGAUGGUGAACUAUGCCUGAAUAGGGCGAAGCCAGAGGAAACUCUGGUGGAGGCUCGCAGCGGUUCUGACGUGCAAAUCGAUCGUCAAAUUUGGGUAUAGGGGCGAAAGACUAAUCGAACCAUCUAGUAGCUGGUUCCUGCCGAA
RNAcentral lists this ribosomal RNA (876 nucleotides) under Penicillium terrigenum. RNAcentral's name for it is "LSU rRNA". It matches the Rfam family "Eukaryotic large subunit ribosomal RNA", at positions 71 to 965 of the family's 3401-position model. Lineage: Eukaryota; Fungi; Ascomycota; Eurotiomycetes; Eurotiales; Aspergillaceae. The record is from RNAcentral.